Molecule: long non-coding RNA, 685 nt
Filed under: Homo sapiens (human)
Lineage: Eukaryota; Metazoa; Chordata; Mammalia; Primates; Hominidae
Description: non-protein coding lnc-KMT2E-1:10
Source: RNAcentral
GGCGAAGGUCUGCAGCUUCACUCCUAAAGCCAGAGAGACCACAAACCCACCGGGAGGAACGAACAACUCCAGACGCGCGGCCUUAAGAGCUGUAACACUCACCGCGAAAGUCUGCAGCUUCACUCCUAAAGCCAGCGAGACCACGAACCCACCAGGAGGAACGAACAAUUCCAGAUGCGCCGCCUUAGGAGCUGUAACACUCACCGCGAAGAUCUGCAGCUUCACUCCUGAGCCGGCGAGACCACGAACCCCACCAGAAGGAAGAAACUCCGGACACGCCGCCUUUAAGAACUAUAACACUCACGGCGAGGGUCCACGGCUUCAUUCUUGAAGUCAGUGAAACCAAGAACCCACCAAUUCCGGACACAGCAGGAUCCCACCCACAGAACCGCCAGGUGCACAGCUGCAUAUCCUCAGGGGAAAACUCCCCUCCCCUGCCACCUUACUGAUAGGCUUCACUUCCCAGAGAACUUUCCCAAUCCUGUGCAAUGCCUGAGUGGUACAUUGUAUUCUAUGAGAAUGGCGCCCCCGCCUCCAGAGUUGUGCAACAAGACUUCCAUGAAUCAAAGCCCAUCGCUGGCUGCCUCCUCUAGCCCUGCAUAGCCCAGAAGCUACAACCUCAGCCCAGAUUAGCAGGCUGAGGGGUCAGGAGGCUGUCACUGGAGCUGUUGAGCUCAUGAACACG